Molecule: long non-coding RNA, 898 nt
Organism: Trematomus bernacchii (emerald rockcod)
Lineage: Eukaryota; Metazoa; Chordata; Actinopteri; Perciformes; Nototheniidae
Exons: 8
Source: RefSeq, a predicted model, not a curated record
CCUGGGCUCUGCCUCCUGGGCUCUGCCUCCUGGGCUCUGCCACCUGGGCUCUGCCACCUGGGCUCUGCCUCCUGGGCUCUGCCUCCUGGGCUCUGCCUCCUGGGCUCUGCCUCCUGGGCUCUGCCUCCUGGGCUCUGCCUCCUGGGCUCUGCCUCCUGGGCUCUGCCUCCUGGGCUCUGCCUCCUGGGCUCUGCCACCUGGGCUCUGCAACCAUGGAUGAAAUAAGAAGAUGACUAAAUCACCUGCAGGUGACCAUGAUGGCUGAGCACUGAUGCUGCCGUGACUUCAUGAGGAUGUCUCACUUCAAGGCAUCAGUCUGCCCAUCUAAUCCGAUGUCCUUGGGACGCAGAGGCUCCAUGUUCCUGUUUCGAGAACUUUGAUAAGCUGAACAUCCGGACCGCUCACUACACGCCGCUGCCCUACGGCAGCAACCCUCUGAAGAGGAACAGGACUAUGUCAGGUUGAACCUGAAAUAGGAGCUCUACCUCCUGGGCUCUGCAACAUGGAUGUCUGCACAGAAAGCAGGUCUUUAGUAACAUUGAAGAUGAAAAGGCGAAACAUGAAGAAGUCACAUGCAGGUGUUGGAUAACGCUGACGCAGAGAGGAAUAAGAAGAUGACUGAAUACGCUCCAUGUUCCUGCUUUGAGGUGCAGCGGUGAAGGAGGACAGGAGGAUGGUGAAGGAGGACAGGAGGAUGGUGAAGGAGGACAGGAGGAUGGUGAAGGAGGACAGGAGGAUGGUGAAGGAGGACAGGAGGAUGUAACGACUGGACAAAGUGCUCUUUAAGUGCAGUCUGUUUCUCAUGUCUGAGUUCUCUGUCAAGGAUCUCUUACAAACUGACCAGCUGAAUGUUUUCUCUCUUAACAAUUGUUGAAAUAAAACAUCUUACACAGAACAA